GAUAUAAGAUAGGUAGCCAACCUCUUCGAGAGAGCGAUGUUGAUGUGUAUGAAUUUAGGUGAAUUGGGAUGCAGCUUCAUGAACAGUUGGGAUCAAUUUGCUACUAUAUUGAUAGACAGGGGACAAAGCUAUAAUUGUUUGAAAGGAAGAUUAUGGACUUAGAGUAUAGAUCCUCCACUGCCACUACGCCCACCAUGCUCCUAGCCACAGCCCGCCGCCUCCACCCUUUCUCCACCGCUGCCGACGACGCGACAAUCGAUUCCCUCGAAGAGCACUGUUCAACCCAUAAAGCUUUACUCUUUUUUUUUGCUGACAGCAUGUAAUAAAAUCAAUGCCAUUCCUGUCCUCCUCAUCUCGUUACCUUUUCUCACCAAUCCCACGCAAACCCCUCGAUUUUUCGUUCAUAAAACUCGAUUUUUUCACCACAUCUUCACCGUCACCCGAAAAUUUCUUGGCCAAAUUGCUGGAAAAUACGUCCAACAUAGAAAGGGUUCUCGAAUCUGUGAAAGCUAAGCUGGAUGCUUCAUGCAUCAGUGAAGUGUUAACAAGGUUUCAUCACUUCUAGAUUAUGGCUGACCCUGCAAAGAUUUUGAUUUCUAAGCGCUGCUUUUGAUGUAUAAAGAUUCACAGUCAUGCCUCGAAAGGAACAACCUAAAGUGCUUGUGCACAAGAUAGUGUUAUAUACAGGUUGAAAGCUCAAGCUUGAGCUUCUAUCUGUGAACUUUGUUGUGUACUUUUAGAGUUGGUUAGCAUAUGAAGAAGCAACUGUCUAUCAUAAAGCUCGUGUUAUUCGGGUUCUAGAUGCAUCAAAACAGGGUCUGACUCUUAGACAAUUCCUUCUAGUGGAUCAUCUUAAUCUGUAGCACAAUUUCUGAUAAUAAGAAUCAUUAGAAGAAGCAAUAGCAGAGCAUACUCGUGUAACCGUUCGACUAGUUGAUUAACAUACCUUAUUCAAAACUAAUAUUAGAAUUCAUGAAAUAACGCGGUGUUUGGCUUGGUAUGUUCAUGAACAAGCACAUGCAUAUACAACAUAUCUAAUCUUCUGCCUAGAGUAAGCAGGAGUAAUGAUGUUCGCUGUGAGCGUGGUAACAUGUGGUAUUGUCACAUCAACAUUGAGAGCAUAAUGUGGCAACAUCAUAUGUUGGCAUACUCACAAUAAGCAUUAUAAUUUUUAUCCAUUGCGAGUAGGAGAUCAAACUCAGUAUAUAUAAUUCAAUGGCAUCUUGUAUAGUUCUAUACAUUUUUAUUGGUAUAUAUUGACACGAUAUCACCAUUAUGAAAUUUUGUCACUUAAUAUGUUGCAUUUAGUGUCCCCGAGGCACGUGUUACCAUUCUUUGAGUUGAACAAAAGCCUUAAUAACCUUCAUCUUGGCUCGAUUCAUUGUUUCUAAUUCAAGAUAUAAGCUAUUUAAAAAAAAUCGUAAUUUUUGUUUUUUAAUAGAUUAUGGAUGGUUCUUUAUGAAAAGGGUGAAACUGAAGCAGACGAAUAUUUGUUGUGUAUUGUAGAAGUCGACAAAGCAUAAACGGAUAAGAAUUUUCAGAUGGUGAGAAUAAAUAAAGGAAGAAAAAGAAAAUAUCUUGAUGAAUAUUCGGUAUUAUAUUUUUUAAAAAUCUUUAUAGUAAAAAUGGAAAAAGAAAACCCAUAUUUUCUCUGGCUGAGAAUAAUUGCCAAUUCCCUUUUAUUUAUUCGUUUGUUGGAUCAAAACGAAUCCUAUCCAAAGGAAUAAAUGGGGAAUAAGAAAAGAAAAAC
Olea europaea var. sylvestris is the source of this 1750-nucleotide long non-coding RNA. RefSeq lists it as uncharacterized. NCBI's taxonomy places the organism in Eukaryota, Viridiplantae, Streptophyta, Magnoliopsida, Lamiales, Oleaceae. The record is from RefSeq and is a predicted model, not a curated record. The transcript has 3 exons.